AACAAACGCUGGCGGCGUGCCUAAUACAUGCAAGUCGAACGAGGAAAGCUUUCGGGUGAGUACUAGUGGCGCACGGGUGAGGAAUACAUGGGUAAUCUGCCCUCGAGUUGGGGAUAACCAGUCGAAAGAUUGGCUAAUACCGAAUAAGACAACAGGAUCUGCGGACCUAGGGGUUAAAGGUUUUUCGCUUGAGGAUGAGCCCAUGCGGGAUUAGCUAGUUGGUGAGGUAAUGGCUCACCAAGGCUACGAUCCCUAACUGGUCUUAGAGGAUGAUCAGUCACACUGGAACUGAGACACGGUCCAGACUCCUACGGGAGGCAGCAGUAGGGAAUAUUGCACAAUGGGGGAAACCCUGAUGCAGCGACGCCGCGUGAGUGAUGAAGGCCUUCGGGUCGUAAAGCUCUGUCGUAUGGGACUAACACAAUGAAGGUACCAUGCAAGAAAGGAUCGGCUAACUUCGUGCCAGCCGCCGCAGUAA
This 478-nucleotide ribosomal RNA is filed under the name uncultured bacterium. RNAcentral describes it as "partial 16S ribosomal RNA". It matches the Rfam family "Bacterial small subunit ribosomal RNA", at positions 29 to 523 of the family's 1533-position model. The record is from RNAcentral.